Long non-coding RNA from Mesocricetus auratus (golden hamster), 858 nucleotides. RefSeq lists it as uncharacterized. NCBI's taxonomy places the organism in Eukaryota, Metazoa, Chordata, Mammalia, Rodentia, Cricetidae. The transcript has 2 exons. The record is from RefSeq and is a predicted model, not a curated record.
GGCAUUUUUGUGCAUGCAAGACCGGCCUCCGCAAUGAUCUUAAGAUGUCACUGCGGCGUUUACAUCUUUUAUUUCAAGGUUUAAAUAACUGGGAAGUAGCUAAUGUAAUUCACUGCUGAGAAGAAAGGCAAGCUUCUUGAUUCCUUUCCAAAGCCAUCUCUUCCUAAUGAACUUCUUUGGACUGAAAGUUCCAGUCAUCUCCAUCUGUAAGUGCAACUUCCACACCAAGAGGACUUGACUCCCUGAAGAAGACAUGACCUUCAUGCUGUGACUUGUUGUCAAAGUGUACCCCCCUCCCCCGUGCCCCGUCAGAUGUCUCGGAUGACAUCAGGCAGUGAGGCGUUUUCUCUGGUUUGCACUAUGCACUAGCCCCUAGGGACAUCAUUUUUUUGGCUUUUAUCCAGAAGGAAUGAACAGUAAAUAGAUGAAGAAGUAUAUUAGGCUGAACUGCUGACAUUUGUAUGCAGGGCAGUAAAUGUUUGUAGAUGAAGAGCAGGAAAGGAUUUUUUCAUAAAUGCUUUUGUGACGGAUUUUAUACUAAAUCAUUUCUUGACAUUUCGACUAAAACCAACAGCUUAGAUAAUGGAUCUGAUGUUCAUACCGUGCAUAUACUCUGGUUUGAUAAAUCCUCCGCUACGAGGACCUCCAGGAGGCUGGAUUCCCUCUGGACUGGGAGAAGAUUGUCUGUGGAAUAAAUUAACUGGCUCGGGGGAGGUUGGGGGGGACCUCAGAAGGUUGUGCAGGGUUGGGCUCCAGCUCAAACCCUGCUGGGCCCUGUGCUGGGGCUCAAUUAGUGCUCUCCUUGGGUUUUAAGUUUGGGGCUGGACCCUGCUAAAUAAACUCAGUCAUAGCAAUGGC